AAGCAAAUGGGAAAGAAAGAAGGACGCGAGGUUAGACCGCAGUCACUGCAAGACACAUCACUGCCCUCCCCCAAAGCUCAUGACCCCAUCCCCGGAGACCCUCUGAAACGACAGCAUCCUCGGCCAGAUCCUGGGGGGCACAAGAGCCAAGUCACCUCUCCCCGCCUCCAACCUGCCUCUGGCUGUGCUCUGUGUGUGUGACAAAGUGCUCAAUCUGACAAAAAGUCCUCCCCAAGCCCGAAGCCCGUGCCCAAGCUCCCCCGUAUUCCUUCCCGCUUGAACAUUCUGGGUGUCUGUCUGCUCUGUGGCAGUAAAUAUUUACCGAAUGAAUCAGCAGUUCUCCAAGUACAGCCCAGGACUAAGGAGACCGGGAGAUUAAAAACUAUUUUCAUAAUAAUAUGAAGUUGUUUUCAUUUCUAACACAGUUUAAAUAUCAAUAGCUACAACUCACGCAAAUAAAAGCUCUUUGGGAGAGGGGAGGUCUGCAAUAAUUUUAGGAAUUGCUGGAGAGAAUGAAUGAGAAAACGUCCGAGCACCUACUAGGAGGAAGGCAGGGUGCCAGGUGCUGUAGCAAACGGCCCCUGCUUAGAUCAGUGGGAGAGAUAAGAUCGUCGCUAAUAAGAAUUAUUAACCAGUGUUGUUCCAUUUUCUACUGGCAGCGUAGCAUAGUAGACUGCAUGACAGACUCGGGAGGGAGGAAGACUCAAAUUCGGCCUCAAACACGGGAGUAGCCGUGGGAUUCUGGGCAGAUCAUUUAAUCACUCCGAGCUUCAAUUUCCUCAUCUUUAAAAGGACGCAUGAUCGGCUCUCAAUCACCCUGACUUGCUCCACCUGCGUUUCAGACUUCAAGUGGUUCUCUGAAUCGAGGAAUUUUAGGCAUCCCGUCCUACCCACCAGACUACAUAUUCCCACGACUGGUCAGGGAGUGCCCAGAGAACAAGGGGGUGGCGUCCAAAGCCCGGGACAGGCUUGUUGGCACCUGGGCUGGGACAGGGGGCCUCUGAUGUGGGUCCUUUCCCCUAGGCAAACUUGACUUCCAGUUUCUCACGUCAAAAACCGCCAUUGGGACUCCCACCAGAGACAAGAGGCUCUGCAGAAACCUACGACACACAGAACAGGCUGCAGGGCCAGACAAGGAGGCUACUCCCUGCUCUCUCCACAAAAAUGUAUAAUUAGAACAGAGCUGGGCCGGCAGAGAGCCUUCUGGCCAAAAAUGGCAAAAGUGUGAAGUGUCCCAGCUGAGCCAGGCCAAGCCCACUGGCACCGUCAUCCCCCCACAC
Antechinus flavipes (yellow-footed antechinus) is the source of this 1280-nucleotide long non-coding RNA. RefSeq lists it as uncharacterized. NCBI's taxonomy places the organism in Eukaryota, Metazoa, Chordata, Mammalia, Dasyuromorphia, Dasyuridae. The transcript is spliced from 2 exons. The record is from RefSeq and is a predicted model, not a curated record.